UACGAAGGGGGCUAGCGUUGCUCGGAAUCACUGGGCGUAAAGCGCACGUAGGCGGACUCUUAAGUCAGGGGUGAAAUCCUGGAGCUCAACUCCAGAACUGCCUUUGAUACUGGGAGCCUUGGGUUCGGGAGAGGUGAGUGGAACUGCGAGUGUAGAGGUGAAAUUCGUAGAUAUUCGCAAGAACACCAGUGGCGAAGGCGGCUCACUGGCCCGAUACUGACGCUGAGGUGCGAAAGCGUGGGGAGCAAACAGG
RNAcentral lists this ribosomal RNA (253 nucleotides) under uncultured bacterium. Its description in RNAcentral is "partial 16S ribosomal RNA". It matches the Rfam family "Bacterial small subunit ribosomal RNA", at positions 524 to 776 of the family's 1533-position model. The record is from RNAcentral.